UGCCAGCAGCCGCGGUAAUACGAAGGGUGCUAGCGUUGUUCGGAAUUAUUGGGCGUAAAGCGCGUGUAGGCGGCUUGGCAAGUCGGUUGUGAAAGCCCGGGGCCCAACCCCGGAAUUGCAGCCGAAACUGCUUCGCUAGAGUCCCGGAGAGGAAGGCAGAAUUCCCGGUGUAGGGGUGAAAUCCGUAGAUAUCGGGAGGAAUACCAGUGGCGAAGGCGGCCUUCUGGACGGUGACUGACGCUGAGGUGCGAAAGCGUGGGGAGCAAACAGGAUUAGAUA
Molecule: ribosomal RNA, 279 nt
Filed under: uncultured bacterium
Lineage: Bacteria
Description: partial 16S ribosomal RNA
Rfam family: Bacterial small subunit ribosomal RNA
Source: RNAcentral